RNAcentral lists this small RNA (28 nucleotides) under Bombyx mori (domestic silkworm). RNAcentral describes it as "ovarian small RNA-1946". Lineage: Eukaryota; Metazoa; Arthropoda; Insecta; Lepidoptera; Bombycidae. The record is from RNAcentral.
UAUCUGCAUUGGUGCACGGUUGAUUUUC